UUUAUGGAGAGUUUGAUCCUGGCUCAGGAUGAACGCUGGCGGCGUGCCUAAUACAUGCAAGUCGAGCGAACGGACGAGAAGCUUGCUUCUCUGAUGUUAGCGGCGGACGGGUGAGUAACACGUGGAUAACCUACCUAUAAGACUGGGAUAACUUCGGGAAACCGGAGCUAAUACCGGAUAAUAUUUUGAACCGCAUGGUUCAAAAGUGAAAGACGGUCUUGCUGUCACUUAUAGAUGGAUCCGCGCUGCAUUAGCUAGUUGGUAAGGUAACGGCUUACCAAGGCAACGAUGCAUAGCCGACCUGAGAGGGUGAUCGGCCACACUGGAACUGAGACACGGUCCAGACUCCUACGGGAGGCAGCAGUAGGGAAUCUUCCGCAAUGGGCGAAAGCCUGACGGAGCAACGCCGCGUGAGUGAUGAAGGUCUUCGGAUCGUAAAACUCUGUUAUAGGGGGAAGAACAUAUGUGUAAGUAACUGUGCACAUCUUGACGGUACCUAAUCAGAAAGCCACGGCUAACUACGUGCCAGCAGCCGCGGUAAUACGUAGGUGGCAAGCGUUAUCCGGAAUUAUUGGGCGUAAAGCGCGCGUAGGCGGUUUUUUAAGUCUGAUGUGAAAGCCCACGGCUCAACCGUGGAGGGUCAUUGGAAACUGGAAAACUUGAGUGCAGAAGAGGAAAGUGGAAUUCCAUGUGUAGCGGUGAAAUGCGCAGAGAUAUGGAGGAACACCAGUGGCGAAGGCGACUUUCUGGUCUGUAACUGACGCUGAUGUGCGAAAGCGUGGGGAUCAAACAGGAUUAGAUACCCUGGUAGUCCACGCCGUAAACGAUGAGUGCUAAGUGUUAGGGGGUUUCCGCCCCUUAGUGCUGCAGCUAACGCAUUAAGCACUCCGCCUGGGGAGUACGACCGCAAGGUUGAAACUCAAAGGAAUUGACGGGGACCCGCACAAGCGGUGGAGCAUGUGGUUUAAUUCGAAGCAACGCGAAGAACCUUACCAAAUCUUGACAUCCUUUGACAACUCUAGAGAUAGAGCCUUCCCCUUCGGGGGACAAAGUGACAGGUGGUGCAUGGUUGUCGUCAGCUCGUGUCGUGAGAUGUUGGGUUAAGUCCCGCAACGAGCGCAACCCUUAAGCUUAGUUGCCAUCAUUAAGUUGGGCACUCUAAGUUGACUGCCGGUGACAAACCGGAGGAAGGUGGGGAUGACGUCAAAUCAUCAUGCCCCUUAUGAUUUGGGCUACACACGUGCUACAAUGGACAAUACAAAGGGCAGCGAAACCGCGAGGUCAAGCAAAUCCCAUAAAGUUGUUCUCAGUUCGGAUUGUAGUCUGCAACUCGACUACAUGAAGCUGGAAUCGCUAGUAAUCGUAGAUCAGCAUGCUACGGUGAAUACGUUCCCGGGUCUUGUACACACCGCCCGUCACACCACGAGAGUUUGUAACACCCGAAGCCGGUGGAGUAACCUUUUAGGAGCUAGCCGUCGAAGGUGGGACAAAUGAUUGGGGUGAAGUCGUAACAAGGUAGCCGUAUCGGAAGGUGCGGCUGGAUCACCUCCUUUCU
Molecule: ribosomal RNA, 1555 nt
Filed under: Staphylococcus aureus
Lineage: Bacteria; Bacillati; Bacillota; Bacilli; Caryophanales; Staphylococcaceae
Description: 16S ribosomal RNA
Rfam family: Bacterial small subunit ribosomal RNA
Source: RNAcentral